CCUACGGGAGGCAGCAGUGAGGAAUAUUGGGCAAUGGGCGCGAGCCUGAACCAGCCAAGUAGCGUGAAGGAUGACUGCCCUCCGGGUUGUAAACUUCUUUUAUAAAGGAAUACAGUGAGGCAAGUAUGCAUUCUUGUAUGUACUUUAUGAAUAAGGAUCGGCUAACUUCGCGCCAGCAGCCGCGGUAAUACGGAGGAUCCGAGCGUUAUCCGGACUUAAUGGGUUUAAAGUGAGCGUAGAUGGGUUGUUAAGUCAGAUGUGAAAGUUUGCGGCUCAACCGUAAAAUUGCAAUUGAUACUGGAAGUCUUGAGUACAGAUGAGGAAGGCGGAAUUCGUGGUGUAGCGGUGAAAUGCUUAGAUAUCACGAAGAACUCCGGUGGCGAAGGCAGCUUACUAGUCUGCCACUGACAUUGAUGCUCGAAAGUGUGGGUAUCAAACAGGAUUAGAUACCCGUGUAGUC
RNAcentral lists this ribosomal RNA (460 nucleotides) under uncultured bacterium. RNAcentral describes it as "partial 16S ribosomal RNA". It matches the Rfam family "Bacterial small subunit ribosomal RNA", at positions 338 to 795 of the family's 1533-position model. The record is from RNAcentral.